Molecule: ribosomal RNA, 826 nt
Filed under: uncultured bacterium
Lineage: Bacteria
Description: bacterial SSU rRNA
Rfam family: Bacterial small subunit ribosomal RNA
Source: RNAcentral
CAGUCGAACGGAAGAUAUCGGCGACGAGAUUUCGGUCAAAUCAAGUGUAUCUUUAGUGGCGGACGGGUGAGUAACGCGUGGGUAACCUGCCAUAUACAGGGGGAUAACACUUAGAAAUAGGUGCUAAUACCGCAUAAGCGCACAUGGCCGCAUGGCCAGGUGUGAAAAACUCCGGUGGUAUAUGAUGGACCCGCGUCUGAUUAGCUAGUUGGUGAGGUAGCGGCCCACCAAGGCGACGAUCAGUAGCCGGCCUGAGAGGGUGGACGGCCACAUUGGGACUGAGACACGGCCCAAACUCCUACGGGAGGCAGCAGUGGGGGAUAUUGGACAAUGGGGGGAACCCUGAUCCAGCGACGCCGCGUGAGUGAAGAAGUAUCUCGGUAUGUAAAGCUCUAUCAGCAGGGAAGAAAGAAAUGACGGUACCUGAGUAAGAAGCCCCGGCUAACUACGUGCCAGCAGCCGCGGUAAUACGUAGGGGGCAAGCGUUAUCCGGAAUUACUGGGUGUAAAGGGAGUGUAGACGGUGAUGUAAGUCUGGAGUGAAAGGCGGGGGCCCAACCCCCGGACUGCUCUGGAAACUAUAUGACUGGAGUGCAGGAGAGGUGAGCGGAAUUCCUAGUGUAGCGGUGAAAUGCGUAGAUAUUAGGAGGAACACCAGUGGCGAAGGCGGCUCACUGGACUGUAACUGACGUUGAGGCUCGAAAGCGUGGGGAGCAAACAGGAUUAGAUACCCUGGUAGUCCACGCCGUANACGAUGAUCACUAGGUGUGGGUGGGNAUGGACCCAUCGGUGCCGCAGCAAACGCAGUAAGUGAUCCACCUGGGGAG